This 465-nucleotide ribosomal RNA is filed under the name uncultured Veillonella sp. RNAcentral describes it as "bacterial SSU rRNA". It matches the Rfam family "Bacterial small subunit ribosomal RNA", at positions 338 to 795 of the family's 1533-position model. The record is from RNAcentral. Lineage: Bacteria; Bacillati; Bacillota; Negativicutes; Veillonellales; Veillonellaceae.
CCUACGGGGGGCAGCAGUGGGGAAUCUUCCGCAAUGGACGAAAGUCUGACGGAGCAACGCCGCGUGAGUGAUGAAGGUCUUCGGAUUGUAAAGCUCUGUUAAUCGGGACGAAAGAGUUCUGUGUGAAUAAUGCAGAAAAGUGACGGUACCGGAAUAGAAAGCCACGGCUAACUACGUGCCAGCAGCCGCGGUAAUACGUAGGUGGCAAGCGUUGUCCGGAAUUAUUGGGCGUAAAGCGCGCGCAGGCGGCCUAUCCAGUCUGUCUUAAAAGUUCGGGGCUCAACCCCGUGAUGGGAUGGAAACUAGUAGGCUAGAGUAUCGGAGAGGAAAGCGGAAUUCCUAGUGUAGCGGUGAAAUGCGUAGAUAUUAGGAAGAACACCAGUGGCGAAGGCGGCUUUCUGGACGAAAACUGACGCUGAGGCGCGAAAGCCAGGGGAGCGAACGGGAUUAGAUACCCUGGUAGUC